UCAUGAAUUCAUUCAUGUCAGCCAAGAGAGAGAGAGAGAGAGAGAGAGAGAUCUGAGUUGAAUGCUUCUUGAACGAACAUUCGGGUUAGCGCGCGUAAAAUGGUCAAACAUCUGAUGUGACCAAACAGAUGGAUUCAAACAUCAUGAAACAAACACAUUCUACGCUUUCUUUCUCUUAUUUGUUUCUUCGACAAGAACAUGAAAUAUGAUAUAUCUAAAUAUAUCAACAGCUACCGACAAGAAAGUGUUCUUGUCAUCAAUGAGUUUGCGGUAGAAACCUCAGAUAUUAGAUAGCUGUUGACGGAUGUAGAAUGGCAAAACAGGGACCUGUACUUGGAGAUCCUACGUACAAACAAAGAAGUAGAGAGAGAUCGCAAUGGCAUUGCCAUCUACUCUCUUUCAUGGGAGUAGAAAUGAGAAGGAAAAAUGAACUUUAGAUCUCUAUGAACAAACACUACGUAAAAGUAGUACAGUUUUGGCUCGUGUUGAAGCGACCGAGGGAUCCAAGGAGAAGGUCGAGACCUGCUUGAACUCAUGGAUUGAACUCAUUGUGUAUCGGUCUUCGUCUACUUACUCGAGCGUAAUCCUGAUUCCACCACCAAGGCAGCUUCUCUUUCGUCGUCUGCGUCGCUCCUCGCCGCUGAUCAUGCAGUCUAAUGGCGCCUUUCGAUCCAUCACAGCAUAAGAAUGAAACAUGUCAAGACUUUGGAUGAUAAAAGCUCUCUCUCUCUCUCUCUCUCUCUCUCUCUCUACACUACAUAUGAAAUGCUGCAGCAGAUUAGGAAGAAGAUGCUUUACCAGCUACAGUUUGUUGACGGGGAAAGGAGAGGCCUGCAAACAUGAGGACAAGCAUCCAAAACACCACUCUGGCAUACCCCAUAUCCUCUCUCUCUCUGUGUCUCUGUUACUGGAUUUAAAUCAGAAGAACCACAUAGACCAAAC
This 942-nucleotide long non-coding RNA is filed under the name Musa acuminata (dwarf banana). RNAcentral's name for it is "long non-coding RNA (MACU_LNC003070)". The record is from RNAcentral. Lineage: Eukaryota; Viridiplantae; Streptophyta; Magnoliopsida; Zingiberales; Musaceae.